AGCGAACGCUGGCGGCAGGCCUAACACAUGCAAGUCGAACGAACCUUUCGGGGUUAGUGGCGGACGGGUGAGUAACACGUGGGAACGUUCCUUUAGGUUCGGAAUAACUCAGGGAAACUUGUGCUAAUACCGAAUGUGCCCUUCGGGGGAAAGAUUUAUCGCCUUUAGAGCGGCCCGCGUCUGAUUAGCUAGUUGGUUGAGGUAAUGGCUCACCAAGGCGACGAUCAGUAGCUGGUCUGAGAGGAUGAUCAGCCACAUUGGGACUGAGACACGGCCCAAAAUCCUACGGGAGGGAGCAGUAGGGAAUCUUGCGCAAUGGGCGAAAGCCUGACGCAGCCAUGCCGCGUGAAUGAUGAAGGUCUUAGGAUUGUAAAAUUCUUUCACCGGGGACGAUAAUGACGGUACCCGGAGAAGAAGCCCCGGCUAACUUCGUG
Molecule: ribosomal RNA, 434 nt
Filed under: uncultured bacterium
Lineage: Bacteria
Description: partial 16S ribosomal RNA
Rfam family: Bacterial small subunit ribosomal RNA
Source: RNAcentral